Molecule: long non-coding RNA, 552 nt
Organism: Nycticebus coucang (slow loris)
Lineage: Eukaryota; Metazoa; Chordata; Mammalia; Primates; Lorisidae
Exons: 3
Source: RefSeq, a predicted model, not a curated record
CAGGUGGCCAGAACAUGAUGAUACGCUGACACUGAAUGACUCAAAUUGUUUCUAUAGGCUAGUGUGGCAGCUUUUGAAUCACCUCUCACUGAGAACCAGCCUGGGUGGAGUUGCCCCUGACCGGUCCCGAUGCAGUGGAGAUGUGUCUGCUGUGAGAACUGCUGCAGGCCCCAGGCUCUUGGAGUGGAUCAGCCAAGGAGGGAGACAGCCUGUCUACUUACAUUGCUAACCCAGAACAGAACACCAACUGUAAGGAGGCAAUCCUGCCCCAGCGGCCAGACGCGGGAGAUUCGGGUGGCUCCCUGGCAUGUUGGAAGUGCGCCUAUGACGGGCACUGCCCCAGCUGGCUGCAGUCCCCUAACCGGACAUCCACGGAUUCCUGCGGUCACAGACGGAUUUCCUUUUCCUCUGAAUAAGGGCAUGCUCAGUUCACAAUAAUGCUGACCCCCCCCCCCCCAUCCAUAUGCCAUGAGCUUUUAGCAUGGAUUAUAUUUUAUGCCACCUGAAAAUUUUGUCAAAUACAACUAUGCCCUUCUAUAUACAUUCUGCAAA